UGCCUCAGUAACGGCGAGUGAAGCGGCAACAGCUCAAAUUUGAAAUCUGGCCGCAAGGUCCGAGUUGUAAUUUGCAGAGGAUGCUUUUGGCGAGGUGCCUUCCGAGUUCCCUGGAACGGGACGCCAUAGAGGGUGAGAGCCCCGUACGGUAGGACCACCGAGCCUUUGUAAAGCUCCUUCGACGAGUCGAGUAGUUUGGGAAUGCUGCUCUAAAUGGGAGGUGUACGUCUUCUAAAGCUAAAUACCGGCCAGAGACCGAUAGCGCACAAGUAGAGUGAUCGAAAGAUGAAAAGCACUUUGAAAAGAGGGUUAAAAAGUACGUGAAAUUGUUGAAAGGGAAGCAUUCAUGACCAGACUUGGGCUUGGUUGAACAUCCGGCGUUCUCGCCGGUGCACUCUGCCAGUCCAGGCCAGCAUCAGUUUGCCCCGGGGGACAAAGGCGGUGGGAAUGUGGCUCUCUCCGGGGAGUGUUAUAGCCCGCCGUGUAAUGCCCUGGGGCGGACUGAGGAACGCGCUUCGGCUCGGAUGCUGGCGUAAUGGUCAUCAAUGACCCGUCUUGAAACACGGACCAAGGAGUCGUCUUCGUAUGCGAGUGUUCGGGUGUCAAACCCCUACGCGAAAUGAAAGUGAACGUAGGUGAGAGCUUCGGCGCAUCACCGACCGAUCCUGAUGUUCUCGGACGGA
Molecule: ribosomal RNA, 683 nt
Filed under: Sarocladium spinificis
Lineage: Eukaryota; Fungi; Ascomycota; Sordariomycetes; Hypocreales; Sarocladiaceae
Description: partial large subunit ribosomal RNA
Rfam family: Eukaryotic large subunit ribosomal RNA
Source: RNAcentral